RNAcentral lists this ribosomal RNA (410 nucleotides) under Acidobacteriota bacterium. RNAcentral describes it as "Acidobacteria bacterium partial 16S ribosomal RNA". It matches the Rfam family "Bacterial small subunit ribosomal RNA", at positions 355 to 776 of the family's 1533-position model. Lineage: Bacteria; Pseudomonadati; Acidobacteriota. The record is from RNAcentral.
UCGAGAAUCAUUCACAAUGGGGGAAACCCUGAUGGUGCGACGCCGCGUGGGGGAAUGAAGGUCUUCGGAUUGUAAACCCCUGUCAUGUGGGAGCAAAUUAAAAAGAUAGUACCACAAGAGGAAGAGACGGCUAACUCUGUGCCAGCAGCCGCGGUAAUACAGAGGUCUCAAGCGUUGUUCGGAAUCACUGGGCGUAAAGCGUGCGUAGGCGGUUUCGUAAGUCGUGUGUGAAAGGCGGGGGCUCAACCCCCGGACUGCACAUGAUACUGCGAGACUAGAGUAAUGGAGGGGGAACCGGAAUUCUCGGUGUAGCAGUGACAUGCGUAGAUAUCGAGAGGAACACUCGUGGCGAAGGCGGGUUCAUGGACAUUAACUGACGCUGAGGCACGAAGGCCAGGGGAGCGAAAGGG